GCCCGGCUAGCUCAAUCGGUAGAGCGUGAGACUCUUAGUCCUUCACGUCCUGAAACAACGCGAUUGGUGUACAUCUCAAGGUUGUGGGGUAUGUACAUCCUCUUAACAGCGAAACGAAAAUGUACUAACAGUAUCAUUAGUUCGACCCCCACGUCGGGCU
This 160-nucleotide transfer RNA is filed under the name Pyrenophora teres f. teres 0-1. It matches the Rfam family "tRNA". Rfam says of the family: Transfer RNA (tRNA) molecules are approximately 80 nucleotides in length. Their secondary structure includes four short double-helical elements and three loops (D, anti-codon, and T loops). The record is from Rfam by way of RNAcentral. Lineage: Eukaryota; Fungi; Ascomycota; Dothideomycetes; Pleosporales; Pleosporaceae.